UGAGAUAUAUCAAUAACCAAUACCAGUCCACAUUAAUCAACAAAGCCUCUAAUAAAAUCACAUCAAUUUAAGUUGGGACUUGCCCUCGACGAUAGCCAAAAAUAAGUCCAAAGAAAAGUCUAUGAUAAUAGAUAAACCAAUAAGCAAUAGCCUUCCAAAAGAGGGAGGCUCACCACUUCAAGUUGAUUGUUGAAAAGUAUAAAAUCCCAUCACUGCACAGAAAAAAGUAGAAGUAUCUCCGCUUCCUGCAUCGCGUAGGGAUACAAUAUCCGAAGAUGGUUAGCUGAUUGAGAACUAACAUGUAACUCAGGAAUAAGGGGUAAAAUAAUGUCAUGAUCAAUAGUUUAAAAUCAUUCAGAAUCAAUGCACACAACGAUAUGCAAGUACAUACAUACACACACAUAUAUAUCACAUGUUGGAGUAGGGAACAAGGCUUAUCAUGAACUUUAAAACCUUAACCUUGACUGUGUAUCUCAAUCAUAAAAAGACACCCAUGAGCUAUAUGGGAUCAACUCUCCCCCAGCUGAAAGGGCACUAGUGCGUGUAGCCGCACAAACCAGAGAAUAAUCAUAUGUGCAUAUGUACCAUAGGGGACUUGAACCUCCCAGUCAUAUAUCAAGGGUGACUUAAGUACUCAUCUAUUUAACAAGGGGGACUCAAACUACCCAAUCAUUUAAUAAGGGGGACUUAAAACACCCGAUCAUUUAGGACCCCAUGCCGGCAAACGCGGCUUCUAGUAUUGGUCCCUCGGAACCUCUUUCACCGCCCAGAUACACAACCCCCUUUAAGCACACUUAAAUAUUUUUCACAUAUUUUCAUUCAUUGAACCAAUUUAUUAAGGCACCCCGUUGGUAUCAUAAUACCAACUUCACUUGCAAGCUAGCACUGUCAUGCCAUAUAAAUUAACCAUUCACAUGGGGGAAAUUUAUGACCCCUCUAGGUUCAAUUCUCAUUUAUACGGGGAAUCCACAAUCCUCAAGGUUCAAUAAAAUUUUCAUUCUUCAAAUGCCUUUUAUGCCAUACAAUGGUUCCAAAGGUAUUUUCAAUAUGCAUGUACUCAUAUUCAAAGCCAAUUUCAAAAAUUAGGUUGAGGUUAGAUCAAUUCAAUUACCAAAAUUCACAAAAUUGGGGGAAAACCAUAUCCCCUUAGUUUAUUCACCAUUCCCAUGCACCCCACAAGUUCAAAAUCAUAACUAAAUAUGAACAAUGCAUAUAAUAUUAUAGGAAUCCAAUUUAAGAAACAUUCAUUCCAAAACCCUCAACCCAUAUCAAAACCCAUGUUCAAAUCCAUAUAAACAAUCAUAUAAUUUCAUGAUUUAAGUAAACCAAGUUUAAGGGCAGAGUCACAUGCCCGAAAGUAUCACAAUUUUGAAGAAAAUUCACCCUUGGAAGCUCUAGACAAUCAACCUUCAGAAACCCUCGGUGUUCUUUGAUUUAGGGAUUUGAGAGUAUAAAGAGAGUGUUUUGAUUUGUUAAAUAAUAAAAAUAAUGCCCCAAAGAUGUUUUAUGAUUGCGGGUAUUAAGUGGAGAGGGAGGGAAUUGAUCAAAAUACCCCAACUUAAUUAUGCUGAAAAUUUUUGCUCAGUUGCUACGGGUGAUCUUACGACUCGUAAGGCUCCACUCAUAGUCUGGAUAGUGUCCAUAGUCACCAAAACUGGUCUCAUUAUAAGUCAUACACUACAGGUCAUAUACAGACCUUAUGACUCGUACAGACAUAAUCAUACCCUGAGCAGAAACUUGGGCCAUCACUUUGGUUUGGUUGCGAAAGGCACACUACGACUCGUUGAGUUCCAUUCGUGAUCAAAAUAGAAACUCGACUAAACACACUGGUCACCCUAUGGAUGGUAUCCUACGACCCUUAUAAACACCUUAUGAUUCGUAUGAGGAGUCGUAGCCUGGGAAGUAAGCUCAAAGGUCAAGAAAUUUUGAGGACCAAAAUCCGAGGUAUUUCAAAACAACAACUAAUAGAAUGCUCUUAGCCAUGAAAUAACAUGGUAGUACCUCGAUACCUAACUCCUCUUACCUUAAAACAAUGAGGAAUUUUAGGCCGAUAGCAUAUUGUUCCACUAUGUACAAGACCAUAGAAAAAGUCAUUUCGCAAAUUAAAUAUUGAAUGAGGUUAUCAGAGGUAUUGUGGGACCUUGUUAGUUAACCGUUAUUUCAAUUUCCAGGAAUGCUUAUUUCUUAUAACAUUCUUAUAAGCCACGAACUGGUAAAGGAUUAUACUAAGAAAUAUUUAUCCCCGGGGUGUAUGAUCAAAGUUGAUCUUUAGAAAGCAUACGAUUCUGUGGAGUGGCAUUUCAUAUCAUAAAUACUUAGAGAGAUUGGUUUUAGUAAUGUUAUGUUUAAUUGGAUCAUGACUUGUAUUAACACAGUAAGCUAUACCUGUAUGAUAAAUAGGAGAUUAUCUGACACUAUGAGGACCGGAAGGAAUUGAGAUAAGGAGAUCCUAUGUCCCCCUAUAUUUUUUCUACUGAGGGAGUACCUAAACAGAUGAAUAUGUUCUUUUAAGCAAGGAAAUUGAGUUCAACUUUCAUCCCAUAUGCUAGAAAUAAAACAUCACUUACUUAUGCUUUGCAUACAAAUUAUUAUUAUUUGCAACAAGAAACCUCAUAUCAGUCUAGAAGCUAAGGAACAUAUUUUAUAUUUUCUCUUCGACUUUGGGCUAAAGGCUAGUUAGUCCAAAAGUCAUGUUUACCUUGGAGGUAUGGAGCAGACUACUAACAACAAAUAUUAAAGUUGUUAGGAUAUGAGAUGGCUGAAUUACCCUUUAAGUAUAUGGUCAUUCCCUAUCCAUCGUGAGGAUCAUAGUACCCCAAUGCCAACCCUUGGAAAGAAAAUUGACAUCGUGAACCACUGCUUGGAUGGCUAGGAGUCCAUCAUAUGCGGGUAGAUUACAACUCUUCAAGACAACCUUGUUUAGUGUCCAAGCUUAUUGGGCACAACUAUUUUGCUUCCCUCAAAAGAUUAUUAAGAUGGUUGAAGCAAUAUGUAGAAGUUACUUGUGAAUAAGGAAUGUUUGUAUUUCUAAGAGAGCAUUUGUAGCAUGGCAAAGAGUUUUUCUGCUAAUAAAUGCAAGAGAGUUGAACACACCAAAUUUAAAACUCUAAAACUAUGUAGUCAUUUGUAAACUUCUUUGGGCACUCAAUCACAAGAAGUUCAAGAUGUGGAUAUCGUGGAUACACACAUACUACAUAAAGAAGUAAGGAACUACACGAGUUACCCUUCUACUUUGGGACCUGGUCCUAACUAAAUGUAUGCAAUAGGAAAACUAAAUAGAACAAACUUGUAAAGUAAAUAAUCAAAGAACACAACAAGUUUUAUUUGGAAACUCCUUGCUCAAGGGAGAAAAACCACAACCCAUCACAUAGGAUUUUCAACAGCUUCACUAGAUUCAAGAAACCUUGAAUACAGACUCCAUGACUUCAAGGAUUAACCUCUUAACCCUUCUUUCACUUGUAAUAACUCUAUUACAAUAAACUUCAAUGCAAUAACUCUAUUGUAUCCACUGAUUCAGCUAACUCUAACUAAGACAAUAAUCUAGCUAACUCUAGCUUCUUUGUCACCUAACUAUAGAUGACACAUUAUGUCACGACUCGAGACUACCCCCUAGUAGUAACAUGGUUCUUAGAUCCAUAAGUGAUCCCAAGCUAACCCAUGAACUGGCAUGACACUUGAGCAUCUAAAUUAAAUUAAUUAUAUAAGUUAAAUUUGCUAAACGGAAGCAUAAUCAUAAGAAAAUAUAAAUAUAUAUGAUAUUAAAAAGGUUUGGACCACGAUAAAUCUGAAGGAAGAACUUGAAUUACAUGAGUGACUCUGACUAAUUGUCUACGAAGCCUCUACUAUACUGACUGUAGGUGGAUGGGACAUGCCUCAAACUACCAUAAAUCAAUACAUAAGAAUAAUAACAAUACAGUACAUGAAUUAGUACUGACUGGAGUCUCUGAAACAAGAGAACUCAUCACCUGUUGGCUGAAAGUUGUAAACUAUCUGAUUAUGAUGCGUGGACUACAACUGGUACCUAAAUUAUGAGAUAAUGUAGCACAUAGAUGAAUAUAUGGAUCAGUACUUCUGGAAACUGAGUAAGUGGGGGUGAAUGCAAUAAGUAAAACUGAUUACACACAUAAUCUUAAAACAUAUAUGCUAAGUGCAAGUAGACACACCAAGAGAUUGAAAUAAACUGAAAGUUGAAGUAUCUUUAAACAUGAGGAACAAACAUAAUCUGAUAAGCUAGUGAAUCACUACACUUAGUAUCUUAAAAUUUUUACUUUUGUAGAAUAAGUAGAACUGAAGCUGGGAAGCGGUAAAAACAUGAGUACUGUAUGUAAAUCUCAUGUCAAGCUGAACAUGCUAUAAAACUGAAAUGAGGAUCAUGUAUGGAUACUGAGCAUGGAAACAUGAACAUGUAAAACUAAGAACGCAAGACCAAGCAUAGCAUAUACUGACAGGAUCUGAAUAACAUGAAUAAUCUAUAAAACUGACUGAAUAAUUACUGAAAAAUUACUUGGUCAAUCAAACCUGAACUAAUAUAAACUGAAUAUUGAAUGAAAUUGUGGGAGCUAUCAUGUAACUGGCAUAUCCCAAUCUAAGUUAAUCGGGGUCUAACCUGUAACCCCAGUUGGAAGGGUGUUAGUACCUUGCCACGGGUACUAACACAUGGCUGUGUGGAUCCACUAAACUGGAGUACCAAAGUACUAGGGAGUCAUCCUCUAUUGGCUGAUGCCCCUAAAAGAUGGUCCACUCUCUACUGGCAGGAAGACCCCUCAUGCCUAUGCUGGCUAUGUAGUUCUGGAACUCAAGGACUGCUACUAAAGGUCACACCCUCUACUAGAAGGUGAGCUCCUAUCUCUAGGUUUGCUCGGUGCUAAAUCUUACUCCCAACUGAAUCACAUUGGUAUUAUUAGAGGUCUAACAAAAUGUGGUACUGUACUGAUAAAUGCUCAACAUAAACAUGGUAUUCCGAAUAAAAUAAUAAAACAUGGUCUGACUGACUUGUAACUUGAAAAUGAAAACAUGUAAAACACAUAGGUAUCGGGUGUUCAUAACCCGCUAGCACUAAAUGAUUACUAAAAUAUGAUAACAACACUUGAAACAAUGGUAGAAAGUAGUAAUUCAGAGACCCAAAACAUAUUACAUUUCAAUACAUAAAGGAGACACGUGAAUUUGAACAUGGGAAUGAGAUAAACUUGGGAGGAUAAUAAUUUUACAUGGUUCAAUUCAUUACUUGAUGGUUUAACAUGAAGUCAAUGGAGUAUGACAUGGUAAAUUGAAAUUCAAAUGUAAAAUAACCUAAUUCAUGUGGAGACGCAUGUUGACGUAGCUUAAAUCCAAAUUACUAAGAAAAUACAUAGAUUAAAUUCAUUAUUAACAUGGGUAAUUUCAUAAAAGAAUGAGAAUUUUAUACUUUAAUCAAAAAGAGGAUUUUUUGGGGACUUAAUGGGUGGAAGAAACCCAUUGAUGAAUACCCCACAUACCUUAAUUGGAUGAGUUUUUGAAGAUAUCUUGAAAUUGGAACUUGAAUCCUUAAGUAUUGAGGAAGAAAGCUUAAAUUUCUUAUUUUUGGGAAGAAAGGCUUGAAUUGCUCGUUCUUGGGGAGGAGGAGGGUUUCUACAUGAGAAAUUUUUAGGGUAAUAGGCAAAUAAUGCCCUUUUGAGUUUUAUAAGUCGUGUUUUAGACGACUGGGGUCAAGGGAAUGGCCUACGCAAUGCGGGCCUAUCGCGGAACCUUACUGUUUCUCACGAGAAUGGUCAUAACUUUUUGCUCGAGUAUCAAAUUAAGGCAAAAUUGGUAUCAUUGGAAAGAUAAUUCAAUUAUUUAUAAUUUGGUAGGUCCUGAGAUGCAAAAUUACAUAUAUGUAAAAAUUUAUACACGAUCAAAGUUGACCCUUGUAGAAUUGAAUAUCAAAAUUUAGCCGAAUCAAAGGCUCUUAGCUCAACUGUACUCUAAGUGAUUUCCAUGGACAUUUUUUCACCUUAAAAGAAUUCUUAACACUAGAUUAUGGUCAUGAAACAUAUAUUCAAAUGAAAAUCAUGGGAUUAGAGUUUACACAUAUUGGAACGACGGUUGAAAGACUAGCCUAAAAAUGCAGGGUGUUACACUUUGAGAACAAGAACUGAAAAGACAAUACCUACUAAUAAUGAAUAAGAUCAGUAGGUAAUAUUUACACACACAAAAUAAAGGCUCAAUUACAACAAGAGUUUGAGACGCACGAGCAAGCUGAACAGGUCCCGAUUGUGAGUGAGGCUUUGAAUAGGAGAGCUUCAACAAAUUUGAUGUUAUGAAAAUACGGAGCUUAGGUUUUCGUGUUUUACCAUAAACAUAUAUAAGAGACAAGAAAAGAUAGGAUGAUUCUAAUUGGUUGGGACAAAUGAGGUUGCAGCUUUCCCACCAACUUACUGUAGAGCUACAUUUUUUCUAGCUAUAGUGCUAACCAGUAAUGGUAACGCGAACGAGAACAACCUGGUCCCUAAGUAGUUUUAGAUUUUUCAUCAAAUGAUCUUCAGGAACUAGGUCCCAAGAUGAUAGUUUUAUCAAUCAUCAAAACUAAGGACUUAACAAUUUCCCCCUUUUUGAUGAUGACAAACCCAUACUCAACCUUAAGCAUUCACAGUCUGUUCCCUCUAUUGUUGAUACCAUCCCAAUGAUUUCCCCCUUCCUGUUGCACCUAGUAUUUGAGUUCCCCCUUGAGUAUAGGACUUCUUCCCCCAAAAAUGUGAUAGUAACACUAACACUAUUGUACCUAAUCUUCCUCAUUUUGGCAUCAUUAAAGAGACAAAACAAUAAACUAAGUGAAGAUAAGCACAUAUGUUAAUGUAUGACCAUUGAGGCUACACUAACAUGAGUAAGAAAAAAUUAGGAAAAGGAAAACAAGAUGAUAGAACCAUACACAGUUAUUUUAUUGAUCAUUCGGAUAAUAUCAUAAAUAAUUCAAAAAUGAAAAACAUUAGAAAACUAAGUACAAGUAGUGCCAUAAAAUAGAGUGAAGGAGGGGAACUAAUAAUUGAGCUUAAAGGGACUAGACACAACAGGGCUUAAGAAGAGGGGACACACAAUAAGGACCAAGUUGGACAGAUACUCAGGCUGAAAGACCUGAAGGGGCCUAGGACAACAAACGGAGAAGCAGAGUAAUCCUCUCAUUUUCAGUAGCGUGAUUUUCAAAAGUUGUUGAGUUAGAUCCUCAACCUUGGUUUCCAAAUUUUAGACCUUAUCACGCAAUAUCUCAUUCUUAGCACAAAGGUUUUUUAUCUAACCUGGUCUCUUUUCACCACCUUUCACAUUUGCAGCCUUUAAGGCUACAAUCUUAGUGUCAUUUUUUUUUACCUAUAAUAGCAGCUAUUUCUUCCAGGUCUUCUCUCAACCUAGUUUGUACAUCUAUCAAGUCAACAACUAUAGAUUUUUAUUUAGCACCACUCCACCUAAAAAUGCACUCAUUAUCCUCCAACAUUGUCAAGUUAAACAUUUAUUUCACGGAUACUUCCUUUCUAGGUCUACAUUCCAUACAAAAAUAUAAAAAAAAAUCUUUUUCAACCAAAACCUUUAUGCUAACCCAUGUUUGCCAUCCUUGGCAGUCAUCAACCUAUGCAUGUUUCCAAUGAUGAUUGUAGAGAGAUUCAUAUGUUGGAACUUUGAAAUUACCUCCAUAUAGAAUAGGUCGAGACCUAUGACAGUUGUUCUUUUCUUAGUGCAGGAAGCAAGUCUUUGUUGACCAGUUCAAAAGGAGCCAAAACUCUCCUUUCAACCUUUCUUUCUCACAUUCUUAAUACUUAGGUCAUCCAACUUUCCACAAACCUUUAAGAACUUUCAGAUCCUUUUUCAUUAGCCAAGGACCUGAUCCCUUGAAUAGGUACUCCCAAGAUUUCAUCCAACACCAGCUCAUCAAGAGCAAUACUUACAUCAUUAACCUGAGUAGUCAAAUAUAAAGCAUUAUCAGAGAAGAUGAGAUUGUAAUAGAAUAUCCUGACCUCUUUCUUAUGUAGAGUGGGAACUGGAGGCUAGAAGAGAUGCUCUCAACUCUAAAAUUUGACCUUCUCUAUAAAAUCAACCAUGCAAGGCAUGACAGCAAUUACAGGAUAAAAAAUUCUUUUUCUCAAGACUUUCUAAAUCUUGAGGAUUUCUUGUCUCUCCUCUCUUGUUAACUUUUUCUCCUUUUAUAGUAGAGGCCUUACCAAUAAGACCAGUUCCUUUAACUAAAAUCCCAAGAACUUUGGAAGUCAUGACAGCUGUAAAACUGGGACCUAGUCCCUCAGAGCUUUUUGCCUCUUCUCUCUUUCUCUUUUCUUUGCCAGUAGACACUGGGUUUUUAAUUAAAACUCCUUUUGGUUUUCCUUUUUUUUGGAAAUGGCACCACUUCCCUUUUCCUUAGCUUAUUUAAUAGCCACACUUCUCACAUUAUCAUCAACGUCAUCCUUACAAUCACUACCAAAGAUGCUAUCAAAAUCACUAUCAGUCUCAUCAUCAACACUUUUAGUUUUUUUCUCAAUUUCUUCUACAACCACAACUUUCUCAACAAGCACCUCACUUCAGCAACAACCCUUUUCUUUAAACUCCUCUUUUUCUUAGUAUUGCAUUUAUUUUCCACCAAGGCAUCCUCCAUCAAUUUCGUUGAACUCAACCUGGUCCUAUGGGUCUUGGCUUCCUUAGAAGGCAUCUUUGCAGUAGUUAACACACUUUGUUUAUACAUAUUCCAAGAUAGGGGCUUGUUGUCAUCACUAUCUAUAGUUCCCUUAUCUUUAGCAUCCUUGUCAGUCAAAUCAAGAACAAGAGGGAAAAUAAUGGUUUUAUUCUCCACCCCUUUAGGAGGAUCAUUUUUCCUCCUAGUAGAUAACAAAGUUGGUGUAUUAUCCCAUUUAAGAGAGCCAGGAGAGAUAGAAUCUCUAGGAGUCUUUUCCCUCAAGGUAGUCAUGCCCUGAGUGGUAAUUUAUUCACUCAUUUUAAGGAUAUUAGAGGAGAUUCCCUUGCAGUAGGUAAAUCAUCAUCAAAUAUGUUUUUAUCUAUUGUAGACUUCCUGACUUAUUUAAUGAACCAGCCUUUUCAGGUGUCUGAACUUUAGAUAGGGGUCUGAACCUUAGAUAGGGAGACUGAAACUUACUUUGGAGAAAUAGGUUGGUCUGAAGGUUUUAGAGUAUCUUCUGAGCCAUUUUCUAUUACUAAGUCAGAAAUAGGUGAAGCAUUUUGAUCCUUUGGCUGAGGAUAUGAUGCGGAGGCAUCUUUAUCUUUCUAAGAGGUUAAAGGAUUUUUAUUUUUAAGAGAGGAGUAUGGGGUAAACUUGACUAUGGGAAAGUGGUUUUCUAAUUCUAAGUUAUGAGAAAAAGAUGGUGAAUGGAGAAUGGAAAUGGGUGUGGGUUCAUCUGGAGAAGGAGAAGAUGAAGAUAGAUUAGACACUAUGAUAAGAUUUGAAAUAUUUAUCGAACACUAGAAUGUAAAGAAGGAGAAGAAGUUUGGGAACUGAUAAGGCAAGAAUGAAAUUUUUUAAAUAAGAGUGUGAAGUGAGAGAGUAGAUUUGGUUUAUAUAGAGAAGAAAGAAUGGUUAGGAUUUUGAAAAGAUAAUGGUUAGGAUUUUGAAAGGAUGUGAUAAAUGAGAUGUGUCCAGUCAGAUGGACAUGUCUCUUGGGCUUAAAGCAGGGUUGACAACUUUUUCUAAUAGGCAGAAAGUCUACGUGGCACAUCCCCUAUUAAUUUUAAAAUAUAAUUAUUUAAGAAUGAGAUAUUAUGCUAACCUAAUGAGGGACCUGGUUCGUACAUGAUAUUCUGAAAUUUUAGUGCUUGAAUUUGUCUCAUCCUCCUUCUUAAUCUUCUUCUCCUUACCACAGGUAUAUAUCUGUGGAAGAUAUAAGAUCUAUGGAAGAUAUAAGACUGAGUUAGACAUGUGUAAUGUUGUCUUACAUGGAUACUUGCUCAUCAAAUCAUAGCCAUUCUAAAGAAAUAAGAGGAACAACAUGCAUUCAAAUUUUUCUCAUCAAACCUAACUUUAUUCUGUUCUUUUCAAACUGGUCCCUCCCAAGUGCCUUGGUAAAUAUAUAAACUAUUUGGUCCUCCAUUUUUCAAAAAAAUAUCUUUAUCGGUCCCUUCUCUGCAUUAUCCCUAAGUAAGUGAUGUUUGAUAUCAAUAUGAUUGGUUCUCUUAUGUUGUAUCAGAUUCUUGGCCAUAUUGACUACACUUGUAUUGUCACAAAAUAGAGAAAAUCAAUCUGAAAGAAUUCCAAAACCUUCAAGUGGUUGCUUGAUCCAUAGAAAUUGAGCAUAGCAUGAGGCAGUUGCCAUAUAUUUAGCUUUAGCAAUUGAAAGAGCCCCUGAAUUUUGUUUUUUGGUGCCCUAGGAAAUCAAUGAUGGUGCUAAAAAAUAAGUAAUUUCUAAGGUAUUCUACCUAUCAACCAGGUAUCCAGCAUAAUCAGCAUUAACAUACCAAACCAGAUCAAAAUUAUCACCAGCAGGAUAGAGGAGGACCAGGUCGGGGUGCCCUUGAGAUAUCUCAAAAUCCUUUUGGCAAAUUUCAAGUGAGAUUCCUUUGGACUUGCUAGGAGUCUAGAACACAUGCCUACACUAAACACAAUGCCAGGUCUGCUAGUUAUAAGAUAGAGCAAUGAACCAAUAAUUCCUUUGUACAUAGUCUUAUUGACAGGAGGACCAAGUUCAUCCAAGUCUAAUUUUGAGGAGGUUUCAAUGGGAGUAUCAAUGGGCUUUGCAUCCUCCAUGUGUUACCUUUUUCAAAAAUUCAUGGAUAUACUUUUGCUGGCAGAUGAUAGUACCAGUUGUACUUCACUUUAUCUACAACCCAAGAAAGAAGUUGAUCUCCCCCAUUAUGCUCAUCUCAAAUUCACUACUCAUUAAUUUAGCAAAUUCAUCACAUAAGGAACUGGUUGUGGCCCCAAAUAUGAUUUUACUAACAUAAACUUAAACAAUGAGAAAAAUUCUCCCUCUUGGCUUCAAUAACAGUGUGUUGUCAAUCUUUCACCUUUUGGAGCCAUUGUCAAGCAAAAACUUUGAGAUUUUCUCAUACCAAGAUAUAGGAGCUUGCUUCAAACCAUAUAGAUCUUUGUCCAAUUUGAACACAUGAUUUGGAAAAUCAACAUCUUUAAAGCCUGGAGGCUACUUCACAUACACUUCUUCCUUAAGCAAUCCAUUUGGAAAAGCACUUUUCACAUCCAUAUAAAUAAUUUAAAUUCCAUAUAGGAUGAAAAAAAUAUGAAUUAGAAUAGCCUCUAUUCUAGCCCCUGGAGCAAAAUGUUUCUUCAUAGUCUAUGCCUUCCUCCUGGUUAUAGCCUUGCACCAUCGGUCUAGCCUUGUUCCAAAUCAUAUUACUAUGCUCAUCAACUUUGUUUCUAUAUACCCACCUAGUCCCUGUGAAUGUUCUGUCUGUAGGGCAUGAGACUAGGUGCCAUAUUUUUCUUCUCUCAAACUGAUGUAGCUCUUUCUGCAUAGAAUUUAUCCAGUUUGUAUCUUUAUUUGAAAACACUCCGCAUCGCGAUGAGCAACAAACUAGAAAUGGUCAAAUUCCAGUGAAGGUUUCCAAAACCACCGCAUCAUGGAUAAGUUUUGUUUAUUAGAUUCGGUGACCUGAAGGUUUAGCGCAUCGCGGAGGAUGAUUAUUUUGCAAUUGUCCCAAUCCAGUGGCUCACCGCGAUAGUGGCGCAUCGCGGUGAGGGUGCAUUUUACAAUUGUUGGGGUGUACUUGAGCUCCACAAUUUCUCAGAUUUUAAUUAAAAAUAGCAAUAGAAGGCAUGGCGCGACGCGCCGGGUGGAUAAAUCGGGAAUAUUUUAACUAUUUUAUCCCAGCUAUAAAAGGAAAAAUCUAAGAUAAUGUGGGGGACUUUUUGUGAAGCAGAGCAGCGGCGAAAAAAUAGAAAUUUCUCUCUUUUAGGGUUCAUAAACAUUCUUUUGAAUUUCUUUAUUUCAAGGAUUGAUUUGGGUAUGAUUUGUUACUUAUUUUGGAUUGUUAAUUCAAACAUGAGUAGCUAAACACCCCCUUUCUGAGGUUGAGGCUAAGAACAUGAGUACUCUUUAAUAUUCUUAUUCAUAGUUUCUUUUUGGAUUAUCAUAUGGGUUGUUCUUAAUUUCUUAAGAUUACUAUUUUAAUGAUUGACCACCAUUAGAAUAAAUUUAUAUUUCUAUGUGAAUUCUAGAGGAGAAUCAUAGGAUAGAACGAAGAAAUUAGGGAGCAAGGUUCUUAUUCUUUUGUAAAAUAAGGGAUUUGAAUUAGCAUCUAGGAUAGGGAUAUACCUAGAAGCCUUGCUUGGUUCACUUGUAGGAAGACAACUUCAUGAAUCUAGAAGAUUUAUUGUAACUCCGUGGGAGUUGUAGUUACCACAUUCAAUAAAGAGAAGAUCUGAGGUCGGGAGACUAAGGUUGUGGCAUAAACCUUGCGAACCAUCAACCCGAUAACCAAUUAGACUGUGAAAAGAAUAGAGAAUUGUACGAUUGUUCACUAUACCUCAACCCUGGAAUCGUCAUCAUUAUUGAUUACAACCGUUGCUUACUUUUCUUUAGUCAUCACUAAUUAUUUAUUGUUUAGUAAAUUGCAUUUUAUUUAUAGAAUCAUCUUAAUCUUAAUACAAUCAAACACUUAACACUAAAUUGUCUUGAACUAAAGAUUGAAUAAAUUUUUAGUUUAUUGAUCCUCAAGAGAGCGAUAUCUGACUGUCUAAGUCAUUAUAUUACUUGUACGAUCACGUACACUUGCGUGUGCGUAGAGACACAAUGAGUUUUUGGCGCCGUUGCUGGGGAUCAAAGGGAAUUAGUAAAUUGCUUUAAUUUUUAGUUUUUGAUCAUAAGUUUAAGUGUUAACAACUUGAUCUUAGCGGCUGAAUUUUCGCAGGUUUAGCUGAACAUUAGACUGGCUAGAGACAAAGAGUUAGUAGAGCCCUUUACAGAACCAGAAGUGAUUUUUCAUCAGAGACGAAGAGCUUAAUACUACACUCAACAGGGAUCGAUGGCGAAAAUACGUGAUCCUAUAGUUUCUGACCCAAAUGUUGGAAAUGUUCCAGCUUCAACUGUUCCUAUUCAACCAGUCGCAAGACCUGUUCGAGAAGUGGCAAUCCCACUUACGCACCUUGUGACUAAUAGUAUCCCGAAGCCUAAACAAGGAGGUCGAUGGGAAUUGAAACAAAAUAUGGUACAAUUAUUGAAAUCUAUGGGAGAAUUUCAUGGACUUUCACACGAGGAUCUGCAGCAACACUUACGAACCUUCCUGGAGAUAAGCGACAUAUAUAUUUCUGAAGAUGUGAGUGCUGAUUAUGUCAGAUUGACACUUUUUUAUUUUUCUCUACUGGGGGAAGCAAAGAGAUGGCUACUUUCUGAACCACACCAAUCCAUCACUACAUGGGAAGAAUGUGCUCGAAGGUUCCUUAUUCAAUUUUUUAUAUCUCAGAAAACAGCUUGAUUAAGGAGUGAGAUAUUAAGUUUCAAAUAGAAAGAUAAAGAAAAUCUCUACCAAGCUUGGAAAAGAUUCAAGGGCAUGCUCAGAAGUUGUCCUCAUCACUAUCAAUUGAAUGAUGUUUUGGUGCAUACAUUUAUAGAAGGCCUUGAGUCUAAUACAAAGAUUCUCCUGGAUUCAGUAGCAUAGGGUCAAGCUUUGGAGAAAACAUAUAAAGAAUUGUAUAGCUUACUAAAUCGAAUUACACAAGGAAAUCCUGAUUGGCAUGCAGACUCGAGGAAUGCUCCCAAGAAAGUUGUAGGGGUUUUGGAGGUUGAUCAGUUCACCGUCUUACAAGCACAAAUUGCAGCAAUACAGAACCAUAGGACUACUCAGUUUAACAACUUAAAGUUGGGUACAACUCAACCAGCAACCAUAAUAAAUGUAAUUCAAUAGGUAUAUGCAUGGUGUGAAGUUUGUAGAAGCAGUGAGCAUAAAGCAGAUGCAUGUUCUGUUAAUCCAGAUUCAGUCAACUACGUGGGGAAUGCAAAUCGUCAGGGUCAACAGAAUUUUGGCAAUACAUAUAAUCCAAAUUGGAGGAACCACCCUAAUUUCUCAUGAGAUGGAAAUCAGGCACAAAAUACAAAGCAGUAUAAGGGACCAGUGCAACCAAAUCCAUAGCCGGUUUAGAAUAAUCUGGUGACUGCUUCGAAUAGUAGCUUGGAGGAGAUGCUUAAGCAGUUGAUAGCUCAACACGCACAGUUUGUAGUGGACAUGAAGGCUCAACAGGUAUAAUUUGUAGCUGAGUUAGAGAGUCAGUAAUUACUCAUAAGAAAUUUGGAGUUGCAGUUAGGUCAAAUCGCAGGAUCACAGAAUACAAGGCCACGAGGAGCAUUGCCUAGCGACACUGAGGCUAAUACUAAAAGUGUAAAUGUGGUUACAAUGAGGAGUGGGCUGCAAACUAAGGAGAUGAUGAAAGAGCAGGAUAAUCUCGUGGUUACUGAUGAUAGUUUGCAAGAAAAGGCAGAAGUAAAAGAAAAAAAAAGGAUAGUGAAGAGAUUCGUGUAUAGAAGAAGACUAUCCCCUUGCCCUUUCCUCAAAGGGCAAGAAAGCAUCAAGAGAAAGCAAGUUUUAAGAAGUUUCUAGAUCUUUUGAAACAAGUUUAAGUAAACCUCCCACUUGUUGACAUUCUACAGAGUGUGCCAAAAUAUGCAAAAUACUUAAAGGAUAUUGUUGCUAAUAAGAAUCGGUUGACUGAAUAUGCUAUAGUUGCACUUACUCAAGAAUGCACAUCUAAAAUUCAAAAUAAGUUGCCCACAAAAUUGAAGGAUUCGGGGAGUUUCCCAUUGCAGAUUUCCCUUGGUCAAACUAUUUAUGCACGUGGAUUGUGUGAUUUGGGGGCUAGCAUAAAUCUCAUGCCUACAUCAUGGUAUCGGAAUAUGGGUCUUAGAAUCCCCAAACCCAUGACUAUUCUGUUGUAAUUGGUAGACAGGUCACUUGCUAGACCAGAUGGUAUUAUUGAAGAUAUACUGGUGCAAGUGGGAUCUUUAAUCUUUCCUGUGGAUUUUGUGAUUCUUGACUUUAAGGCUGAUCCCGUUGUUCUAUUUAUUUUAGGACGACCCUUUUUAACAACAGGGCAGUCACUCAUUGAUGUGGCAGCUAGAAAAAUAAUAAUGCGAGAACACAAUAAAGUAGAGGUUUUUGAUGUGUACAGAACAUUGAAAUUGCCAGCCAUAUAUGAGGAGUUGUCAUCAAUUUUGGUGGGGAUUCAAAAGCAUUGGAAUUAGGCCAGAGCAUGAAUUUGGUUGUAAUUGAGAUAACUAAAGUGUUGAUCGAUCCAUUGAAUAGACCAAUUGGUCCACCAUCCAGGCCUUUAGUUGAAAAAGCUCCUAAAUUGGAGCUUAAGGUUCUUUUUCCUCACUUACAAUAUGUUUUUCUUGGAGAUAAAGACACCUUGCCUAUUAUUUUUUCAGCAGAAUUUCCGAUGUACAGGUAAAGGAAGCUAUAGCAAUUCUCAAAAGAAGAUGAAAAGCGAUUGGUUGGCAGAUGUCUGAUAUUUUAGGAAUCAAUCCAGCAUUUUGCAUGCACAAUAUUUAUAUGGAAGAGGGGUACAUACCUAGAGUGUAGCAAUAAAAGAGGUUGAAUCCUAUUAUAAAAGAGGUGGUCCGGAAAGAGGUGAUCAAGUAGUUAGACAGUGGUAUUAUCAACCUAAUUUUUGAUAGCAAAUAGGUGAGUCCAGUGCAUUGUGUACCAUAGAAGGGAGAAAUGACUGUGGUGAUGAAUGAUGAUAAUGAGUUAGUUCCCAUACGUACAGUUACCGGAUGGAGAAUAUGUAUAGAUUAUCAGACGUUGAAUGAAGCAACUCGGAAAGAUCAUUAUCCAAUUCCCUUUAUUAACCAAAAACUGGAUAGAUUGGCAGGGCAGGAGUAUUAUUGUUUUCUAGAUGGGUACUUUGGCUACAAUCAGAUAAGCAUAGCACCGGAAGACCAAGAAAAGACCACAUUCACGUGUCCAUACGGUAUAUAUACUUUCAGAUGCAUGCCCUUUGGAUUAUGUAAUGCACCUGCUAUAUUUCAAAGGUGUAUGAUUGGAUACAGGGAAGAUAUGAAAGUAGUAAAGGAAUGCAAGGGACUGAAAUUAAGCUGAAAAAGGGAAGUUGGAACGAAGAAAUCCUCAUUUGAAGACACUCCACAUUGCGAUGAGUAAUAAAAUAGCAAUGGUCGAAUUCCAGUGAAGGUUUGCGAAACCACCGCAUCGCGGAGAAGUUUUUUUUAUCAAAUUUGGUGACCUGAAGGUUUAGCGCGUCGCGGAGAAUGAUUAUUUGAUAAUUGUUCCAAUCUAGUGGCUCACCGUGAUAGUGGCGCGUCGCGAUGAGGGUGCAUUUUACAAUUUUUGGGGUGUACUUGAGCUCCACGAUUUCUUAUAUUUUAAUAAAAAAUAGCAACAGAAGGCAUGGCGCGAUGUGUCGGGUGGAUAAAUCGGGAAUAUUUUAACUAUUUUGUCCCAGCUAUAAAAGGAAAAAUCCAAGAUAAUAUGGGGGACUUUUUGUCAAGCAGAGCAGUGGCGGAAAAAUAGAAAUCUCUCUCUUAGGGUUCAUAAACAUUCUUUUGAAUUUAUUUAUUUCAAGAAUUGAUUUGGGUAUGAUUUGUUACUUAUUUUGGAUGGUUAAUUCAAACAUGAGUAGCUAAACACUCCCUUUCUGGGGUUGAGGCUAAGAACAUGAGUACUCUUUAAUAUUCUUAUUCAUAGUUUCUUUUUGGAUUAUCAUAUGGGUUGUUCUUAAUUUCUUGAGCUUACUAUUUUAAUGAUUGGCCACCAUUAGAAUAAAUUUAUAUUUCUAUGUGAAUCCGGGAGGAGAAUCAUAGGAUAGAACGAAGAAAUUAGGGAGCAAGGUUCUUAUUAUUUUGUAAAAUAAGGGAUUUGAAUUAGCAUCUAGGAUAGGGAUAUACCUAGAAGCCUUGCUUUGUUCACUUACAGGAAAACAACUUCAUGAAUCUAGAAGAUUUGUUGUAACUCUGCGGGAGUUGUAGUUACAACAUUCAAUAGAUCGAAGAUCUGAGGUCGGGAGACUAAGAUUAUGGCAUAAACCUUGCGAACCAUCAACCCGAUAACUAAUUAGACUGUGAAAAGAAUAGAGAAUUGUAUGAUUGUUCACUAUACCUUAACCUUGGAAUCGUCAUCAUUAUUGAUUACAACCGUUGCUGACUUUGCUUUGGUCAUCACUAAUUAUUUAUUGUUUAAUAAAUUGCAUUUUAUUUACAGAAUCAUCUUAAUCUUAAUACAAUUAAACACUUAAUACUAAAUUUUCUUGAACUAAAGAUUGAAUAAAUUUCUAGUUUAUUGAUCCUUGAGGGAACGGUAUCUGACUAUCUAAGUCAUUAUAUUACUUGCAUGAUCACAUACACUUGCGUGUGCGUAGAGACGCACCAGGAGUCAUAUUAAGAAUGGACCUAAUAAGACACCUAUUGAUCACAUGACAUGUUUUAUUAACUGCUUCAUCCUAAAAUUUUGAGUUAUUAUUGCAUCAAUCAAUAUAGUCUUGGAGAUAUCCACCAAUGUUCGGUUCUUCCUUUCCACAACACCUUUUUGUUGAGGUGUUCUAGGAGCUAAAAAGUUGUGCUUGAUUCCAAACUCACUGCACAAUUGAUUGAUCAUAGCAUUUUAAAAUUUUGUGCCAUGAUCUAAUCUGAUUUCAGCUAUUUUAUCAUUGUAUUUCACUUGGACUUGUUUAGCAAAGGCUUCAAACACUGGAAAGUUUUUUUUUUAACCAGAAAAAGAAUGUCCAGGUGAACAUGGAAUAGUCAUCAACUAUCACCAGAAUGUAUUUAUUUCCUCCUCUACUUGCAAUCUUUACAGGUCUAUACAAAUCUAUAUGGGGAAGCUAUAGAGGUCUGGAGGUACUCACUUCUUUCUUUGUCUUGAAGGAUGGCCUGGUCUACUUACAAUUCACACAUGCAUCACAUACUUUGGAAUAGGAAAACUUCAACUUUGGUAAUCCUCGAACCAGGUCCUUAGAGACCACUUUGUUCAAUAAUGAGAAACUUACAUGGCAUAACCUUUUGUGCCACAAUUCAACAGUAUAUUCUUGCACACUCAGACAUGUCAGAUUGUUAGGUUUGCUUGACCCCAGAUCUGUAACAUACAUAUUUUUAUUUCUCAAGGCUGUGAGAAUAACUUCACCAUUAUUGAGUCUUGUGACCACACACUUAUUAGACAUAAACUUCACUUUAUUUUCCUUGUUACAAAUAUGUGACACACUCAUCAAGAUGAAUUUUAGACCAUUCACAAAAUGAACAUCAUUAAUGGUUUGGCCUAAACUGUUCCUAACCUUACCCAUUUUUCCCAUCACCAAAGGAUACAUUGCCUCCUUCAUGGUCUUUGAGUGAGAGAAAGUCUUCAGUACUUCCAGUCAUAUAUUUUGAACAUCCACUAUCCAUGUACCAGUGGCGGUUGCUUCCUCUUGCUCUACCCUGUAGACACAUAAGUUGUUAGUUUUACGAACCCAAUGCAGCUUGAGUUCCCAGUAGAGGGACAUGGGAAAUAUCAAAUUAUUUUUAGUCCAAGCAUGUAGAACAACAUUAUUUUUCUUGGAACUAGAAGGUCUCCUCAAGUUUUUUACAAUAGCCAUCCUUGAGGGGCACAAGUCUUUUACAUGAUCAUUUUUACCAUAAUGAGUGCCAGAAGAUUGUUCUUAAUAGAUAUAUAUUUGUUAAGUGGGUUAUAAGGUUCACUUGAACUCUAGAAACCAAGACCCCUUCUAUUAUUACACUUUUGAGCAGUCAAACUUUAAUAUCCCGAACUUUCCCUAAGCUUAAUUUCAUCUCGAGAAGGUUAAGAAAUGACUUCCUAGGUGAGUAUCAUUUUUAACCAUAUAAAAUUUCCCUAAUUUCAACUUUUUAUUACAUGAUCCGAUACCCGGACAAGAAGUUAUGGCUAAUUUAAGUUCUAGUCAUAAAAUACUAUCAUUUCAGUGCUUGGCGUAUCGCGGAGUGGGUCUAUUUAACAAUUGUCAAAUUCUAGUAGCCUAGCGCAAUAGUGGUGCAUCGCGCUGAAGUUCCAGGUCCCAACCAGUGGGACAACGCGAUGGAUCUGCAUCGCGGUGACCCCAAGAAUCCCAUUUGUCAAUUUCCAGUGAGCCACCGCGAUAGUGGCGCAUCGCGGUGGCCCAUAGAAUUGGGUUCCUAGUUAUAUUUUUUUAGUUACAUUAGGGGUUAAAAGGGGGGUAUUUCGGGUAAUUGCCCUACCCCAAGCCAUACAUAAACACACAAUCAAUGUCAUAACAAAGCACUUUAUGCCCAAAAUCUUCAUUCUCUGCAAAGCAAAAGCCCUAAGCAUCCAAAUCCUCCCCCAAGAAUCUCAAGAAUUCAUCAUAGUUUUCUAAAUUGAAUUGAGAUUCGAGGUUUCCAAGACAAAAGCUUCAAGAACCCUUAUCCAAAAGUAUGAGAAAGAGUCUCAAGCAAGAUUAUUCGUCAAAGUUCAUAAUUCUAGGUAUGUGGGGUUUGAACAAGAACACUCCUUUCGUUCUUGUGCCCAAAGUUUUAGUUUUCUUAAAAUAUUUUAAUGUUUUCAAGACGAAUUAUGCCUAAAUUGCUACAUUUAAGUAUAUGAGAUUAUGGAUUUGUUCAAGUCUUAAAUUAUAGGACACUACACCUAUUUUAUGAUUUGAAUUGAGAAUUAAUGUUAUGAAUUGCAUAUUCCUUCCAUGAUUGGUGUUUGGAAUACUCUUAGGAUUGAAGUUAUGAUUUACCCUCUAUUUUGAAUUGAGAUUUCUUGAAUAUGUAUACAUGUUUUAAGGUCCAAGAAUGAAUUUUGAUAUAUUCUAUAGUAUUUUAAGAAUCCUAUUGAUAUCUCCAUAUCAUUGAAGUUUCAAAGCUUGUUAAAGAUAGUCUACCAAAGUUUAAAUAGACACGUUGAUUUUGAUCCUAAGUUAAGAAAGGAAUCCACAUCUUGUGAUUUAAGUUAAAGGGAAGAAAAUUGGCUCCCAUUUCAUAAUGUUGAAUUAUAUAAGGUGGAUUUUCCUAAAAGUUUUGAGCCUAGUAUGGGAGUAGUACUUAGCACUGAGUUGGGCUUGAUUCAGAGGUCUCAUGCCCCAGAACUAUGAGCCACCAUAGGAUUUCAUUUACUCCAAUUGGGUUAAGCUAGUGAUUACUAAAAGUAAAAGGUUCUACUCUGAUGGCGGGCAAGACGUUGGACUAAAUGUGGCUCACAUAGUUUAUGUCUUUUAGAAGAAUCUCCCAAAAGUAGUCCCUACUCUAUUUAAGAUAAAAGUACUUGUAUUUCAAAAGCCAUGAUUCUAAGAUUUCUAAGGUUCUCAAGUGCUAUAAUCUUUAAGUUUCAAAGAAGCUCCUUGUUUUCCAUAAGAUUAAAGUGUAUGUUCUGAAGGUUGUCUCUUUAAGACUUUAUCUAGUUCACAAGCUUGAGUACAAAGGAAAAGUACAGAUUUAGAAUAACGUGAAAUGACUCACAUGAUUUAUAUGGUAUGUUUUUUAUUCAUGAUUUAUGAGGAUUUUAUUCAAGCUAUGUGAGUCACUUAUUAUGGCAUGCAUGUUUUCUAUAAAGACUUAUGAUAUGGAUUAUGUAAUUGCAUACACCCCCAUAUACUCAGUACAUUCCCAAGUGUUGAUCCACAUAUACGCCUAUGUGCUACAUUGUCUUAUAAUAUAGGUUCAGGUGCUCAGCAACAGCUUCAUUAGUGACUUUCGAGUACCUUUGUCUAUAUCUCAACAGUGGUGAGUCCUCAUGGUUUGAGGACCUAUCUUCAGACAUUUUAGUAUUUUAGUAGAUGUUUUAUUUCUUUCAAUUUAGUUCGAUUCAGUUGGGGAUCUGUCCCAAUGGCUCUCUAGUUCAUUGAGUAGUAGAGGCUUUGUCAGAAUAGAUUGUAGUAUAUUUAGACAUUAGUAUUUUUUUACUUUCACAAUACUCUUUCAUAUUUCAGUGAGACGUUCUAUGGUAUGUCUCAGUAUGUUGCUCGCAGUACCUUGAUUUAAGCAUUUAGAAAUAGUAGUAGGCUCAAAGGGUUAGCUUGGGGUUACUAGUAGACUUAAGCACCGUGUGACAUAUCGGAACCCAUUUUCAGGGCAUUACAAACUUAGUAUUAGAGCCUAAAGUUUAAGGAGUCCUAGGGAGUCUAACAAGUCGCGUUAAGUAGAGUCUUGAUCAUCGACGUGUAGCGCGCCACAUCAAUAAGCAAGAAGCUACAAGAUGUUUUAGGAAAAAGUCAUCCCUUUCUUUCAGAACCUAUCGUGCUUACAGUUGUCUCUCUCAGCUAUUGACUCGUGCUUUGUUAUUUAACAAAAUUCCUCGUCAAAGAGCUAAUGCCCACAGAAACAAUAACGAACCACCCCAUCCAGUUGACCCCUUGAAUGCAAACAUAUCCCAUACUGAGUUUCGGGCAUCUUUUCAGGCGCUAUCCCAAGCAAUCAUAGCAAAUGUUCAGGCCAAUAACUAGGCCGCAGUUCCACACCAGUAGGGAGGUGAUUUAGCUACUACUAGAAUUUGUGAUUUCAUGUGGAUGAAUUUGCUAGAGUUUUAUGGGUCUAAGGCAGGUGAAAACCCACAGUUAUAUCUUGAGGAGGUAAGGAAAAUCACAGAGGUGUGCAUGUUUCUGAGGAAAAAAGUAUGGAGUUGGCGUCUUACAGGUUGAAAGAUAUUGCUUAUAACUGGGUUGUUGUAUGGAAGAAAAAUAGAAGGGAAGAUGAUGCUCCCGUUACUUGACAGGUAUUUCAAGAUGCUUUCUUGGAUAAGUUCUUUCUAUUAGAGAUGAGGGAGGCAAAAAUAGAGGAGUUUAUGAACUUAAGGCAGGGUUGCAAGACUGUUAAGGAGUACUGCUUGAAGUUCAACCAGUUAGCAAAAUAUGCCCCUGAUUUGAUUUCUGACACCCAUACUAGUAUGAGUAAGUUUGUGAUAGGAGUUUCGUGUUGAAAGAGUGCAGGAGCGCUAUGUUAAAUAGGGAUAUAUAUCUCUCUAGAUUAAUGAUGCAUGCACAGUAAAUAGAGGUAGAAAAGAUAAGAGAAAGAGAUAGAGUGAGGGGAAACAAGAGGACUAGGUCUGAGCAGCAUGAGUAUGGUCAGGCUAGGUCCUAUGGAGGGAACCAUCCAUAGUUUUAGAGUCAUUCUUCUAUGCCAGCACCUUUUUCAGCUAGUGCUCCCAUUCCCAAAAAUAAGCAGGAGCAAGGGAAUAGGCCUUCUAUGUCUAAGUCCCAGAAUAGUGUAAGUAACAGACCUAAUUAUCCUCCUUGUGCUAAGUGUAGUAAGACCCAUCCCAAUGAGUGUUUGGCCGAAUAGAGGGGUUGUUUUGGUUAUGGCAAGUUGGGCCACAGACUUAGGGAGUGUCGCCAGGUAGGGGAACAGGGAUGUACGACCUCAGAUGCAGGCUAAUAGUGCCCCAGCUCCCGUAGCCCAUCCAGCCCCUCCUUAAGGUGCUUCUUCUAGCACUACUGGCGGUCAGUGCCAGAACAGAUUCUAUUCCUUACCAUCCUGUCAAGAGCAGGAGGAUUCUCUCGACGUUGUUACUGGUAUGCUUCGUGUAUUUCAAUUUGAUGUUUAUGUGUUGUUGGACCCCGGGUUGAGUUUUUCUUAUGUGACUCCACUUAUUGCUAUGAACUUUGAAAUGGGUCCCGAAAAUAUUCCUGAGCCUUUCCUAGUUUCUACUCCAGUAGGGGAGUCAGUUAUUGCCAAGCAAGUGUAUAAUGACUGUCUUAUUACUAUUCUUCAUAGAGUCAUACUUGUUGAUCUGAUAGAGCUACAUAUAGUGGAUUUUGAUGUUAUUCUAGGUAUGGACUGGCUUCAUUCUUAUUAUGCAUUUAUAGAUUGUCGUACCCCUGUAGUUAGGUUUCAGUUUCCUGAUGAACCAAUUUUUGAGUGGUCUGGGAGUUCAGUAUCCCUCAAGAGUCAUUUUAUCUCCUAUCUCGAAGCCAGAAAGCUUAUAUCUAAAGGUUGCAUCUAUCACCUAGUUAGGGUUAGAUACACCAAGUCUGAGGCUCCAACUAUUCAGUCAGUCGACGUUGUUAAUAAGUUUCCUGAUGUUUUUCUGGAAGAUCUCCCAGGGGUACCUCCCGAUAGAGAGAUAGAAUUUGGGAUUGACCUUUUUCCCAACACUCAGCCUAUUUCAAUUCCUCCCUACCAUAUGGCACCCGCAGAGCUUAAGGAGUUGAAAGAGCAACUAAAAGAUCCUUUAGAUAAAGGUUUUAUAAGGCCCAGUAUGUCACCUUGGGGCGCACCUGUUCUAUUCGUGCGAAAGAAAGAUAGCUCUUUGCGUAUGUUCAUUGAUUAUCGUCAGCUUAAUAAGGUCACAGUCAAGAAUAAGUACCCCCUUCUGAGAAUAGAUAACCUGUUUGAUCAAUUGGAGGGUGCAAGUUACUUCUCAAAGAUAGAACUUCGAUCCGGCUAUUAUCAACUCAAAGUAAGGGAGUGUGACAUCCCAAAGACAGCCUUCCGUACUCGUUAUGGUCACUUUGAGUUUCUAGUCAUGUUUUUUGGGCUAACCAAUGCUCCAGCAGCCUUUAUGGACCUCAUAAAUCGAGUAUUCAAAUAAUAUCUUGAUAUAUUUGUCAUUAUUUUCAUAGAUGAUAUUCUUGUGUAUUCCCAUAGUGAGAAUGACUAUGCAGAUCAUCUUAGAAUUGUCCUACAGACUCUUAGAGAUCACCAGUUGUUCGUUAAAUUCAGCAAGUGUGAAUUUUGGCUAAGUUCAAUAGCUUCUUUGGGUCAUAUCAUUUCAGCCGAAGGCGUUAAGUUAAUCCCUAAAAUAUAGAAGCUGUAAGAAAUUGGCCUAGACCCAUUUCUCCGUCUGACAUUAGGAGUUUCUUGGGUCUAGCUGGCUAUUACCGCCAUUUUGUUGAAGGUUUCUCUUCUAUUGCAUCUCUCAUGACCCAAUUGACCCAAAAGAAAGUUAAGUUCAUUUGGUCAGAUUCCUGUGAGAAGAGUUUUCAGGAAUUGAAGACUCGACUCACUUCAGCCCCUAUGUUAACUUUGCCUAAUGGUACAGAUGGUUUUGUGGUGUAUUGUGACACCUCUAUAGUUGGUUUGGGUUGUGUGCUGAUGUAGAAUGGUAAAGUUAUAUCCUAUGCCUCUAGACAGUUGAAACCUCAUGAAAAGAAUUACCCAACCCAUGAUCUGGAAUUAGCUGUUGUGGUCUUUGCUUUGAAAAUCUAGAGGCAUUAUCUUUAUGGUGUUCAUGUGGACGUGUUCAUUGAUCACAAAAGCCUGCAGUACGUAUUUUCUCAAAGGGUGUUAAAUCUUAGGCAGAGGAGAUUGUUAGAACCGCUAAAAUAUUAUGAUAUGAGUAUGUUGUAUCACCCAGGCAAGGCCAAUGUAGUGGAAGAUUCCCUUAGCAGGUUGUCUAUAUAUAGUGUUUCUCAGGUAGAGAAGGGUAAGGAAGAGUUAGCUUGUGAUGUGCAUCAUUUGGAUAGAUUGGGCAUUAGGUUUCUUGAUUCCGCUGAGGGGAGUAUUUUAGUGCAGAGUAAUUUCGAAUCCUCUCUGGUUUCAAAAGUGAAGGAGAAGCAAGACUCAGAUCCUAGUUUGGUCAAACUGAAGGAGUCAGUCAAGGACCAAAGGGUAGAGGUUUUCUCCCAAGAUAGAUAUGGUGUGUUGAGAUUACAAGGUAGAUUAUUUGUUCCUUGUGUUGACGAUCUGAGAAUGAGGAUCAUGGUAAAGACGCAUGGUUCACGGUAUUCUAUUCAUCCCGGUGCUACCAAGAUGUACCAUGACUUAUGAGAAAUCUAUUGGUAGAGUGGUAUGAAGAAGGAUAUAGCUGAGUUCGUAGCUAAGUGUGCAACUUGCCAACAGGUUAAAGUAGAGCAUCAAAGACCUAGUGGUGUGAUGGAAGAGCUUAGUAUACCUACUUGGAAAAGGGAAGAUAUAAAUAUGGAUUUUGUGAUUGGUUUACCACUCUCCCAAUGCCAUCAUAAUUCUAUUUGGGUUGUUGUAGACAGGCUGAUUAAUUCAGCACAUUUUUUGCCCAUGCAUACAUCUUAUACUGCUGAGGAUUAUGCUAGACUGUAUAUUCGGGAGUUAGUCAAGAUGCAUGGAGUUCCCUUGUCUAUCAUCUCAGAUAGGGGUACUCAGUUUACUUCUCAAUUU
Molecule: long non-coding RNA, 24923 nt
Filed under: Capsicum annuum
Lineage: Eukaryota; Viridiplantae; Streptophyta; Magnoliopsida; Solanales; Solanaceae
Description: long non-coding RNA (CANN_LNC000313)
Source: RNAcentral